GUAAAGAGGCCUACUGUAAAGCAGGUUUUUUACUAUAUCGUAUUCGCCCUACGCUCGGCCCGGUCAAAGUUGAGCGUGGGGCUUUUU
Molecule: non-coding RNA, 87 nt
Filed under: Streptococcus phage SMP
Lineage: Duplodnaviria; Heunggongvirae; Uroviricota; Caudoviricetes
Description: S. pyogenes small RNA 779816
Rfam family: S. pyogenes small RNA 779816
Source: Rfam by way of RNAcentral